This 253-nucleotide ribosomal RNA is filed under the name uncultured bacterium. Its description in RNAcentral is "partial 16S ribosomal RNA". It matches the Rfam family "Bacterial small subunit ribosomal RNA", at positions 524 to 776 of the family's 1533-position model. The record is from RNAcentral.
UACGAGUGCCCCGAGCGUUAUCCGGAAUUAUUGGGCGUAAAGGGUGUGUAGGAGGUGGUGUUAGUCUUUUGUUAAAGCUCCCGGCUCAACCGGGAAAGUGCAAGAGAUACGGCACCGCUAGAGGAUGCGAGAGGUAUGCGGAACUCAUAGUGUAGGGGUGAAAUCCGUUGAUAUUAUGGGGAACACCAAAAGCGAAGGCAGCAUACUGGCGCACUCCUGACUCUGAAACACGAAAGCGUGGGUAGCGAAUGGG